RNAcentral lists this long non-coding RNA (1397 nucleotides) under Lactuca sativa (garden lettuce). RNAcentral describes it as "long non-coding RNA (LSAT_LNC007060)". The record is from RNAcentral. Lineage: Eukaryota; Viridiplantae; Streptophyta; Magnoliopsida; Asterales; Asteraceae.
UUUUUUUCUAUUUCUUUUAAUUGAAUUGUAAUUCCUUUAAUUAAAAAAAACAAAAAAUAUAUAUUACCCCACUUAUCUCUCUCUCACACACACGCAUACACACACAAAGAACUCAACUUUUCAGAUCAAACAUUCACCCAAAAAAAAUCAUCGGUGUUCUUCAAUGUGUUCAUCAACAAACUUUUCACAUCACACGUAGCUCAAAUCUCAAGUCGAUGCACCCCUCCUUCUCUCACAAUCACAGGUAGUCUCCUUCAUAUUCUAGCUUCAAUCGACAACAACCAUGACCCUCCCUUCCUUCUUUUCUGUUCCGAUUCGAUUCUCACCAAACCUUCUUCGAUUCAGAUCACAAGAACUUGGGGAUAGUGAGUCUGGUAGUGUUGAUCGGAUUUCUAUGGUAUAUCAAGAAGAGGUUAAGGCCUGUAUUUGUUUUUUUUCUUUUUUAUUAAACUCGAUCACAACCUCUUCUUCUUUCUCUCUUCUGAAUCUAUCUCGUUUUUUUUUCUUUUUUAUUAAACUCGAUCACAACCCCUUCUUCUUUCUCUCUUCUGAAUCUAUCUCGUUUUCUGUCUUUUCUUUUCUUUUUAUCUUUUUUGAUGGCAUAUGUGUGUUGGCUUGCAGGUAUGUUGGGUUAUGGUAGUCCGGUGGUGUGUGAUGUGGGUGGCGUUAGAGGUUAUGUUCAGGCCGAUGAACAGAGGAGCAGAAUGUGAGGAUGGCUGAUUAGAAGGGGUGAUGACAGGAUGGCUGUAAUGGAGUUCAAAGUUGGUGUAUAGCGGUGAUAGUACCGAUUACGAUCCAAAAGAAGAUCACAUCAAAUCUGGAACUUGAAAGAUUAAUCGUUAAUCAAGAUGAAGAAUGAAUGAGACAUACAAACAGGAUAGAAAAAAGGGAAAAUUGAGUAAUUUGAACCUUGACUUCUAGUGUUCUUCAAAAAUAGAGAACAACUUUGACCCCGACUUCAUGGGCUUCUUCCUUGAUUUCUGAUUUGCAGGUAACGGGGGAUGGCAAUGGUAGUGACCGUCAAGGGAGCGAGGAAGAUGAUAAAGAUUUGGGUGGAUAAGGGCGUCGACCCAUUUUUUCUGUGGGUUACACAUAUGGAGAGAGAGAGAGAGAGAGAGAGAGAGAGAGAGAGAGAGAGAGAGAGAGAGAGAGAGAGANNNNNNNNNNNNNNNNNNNNNNAGAAGUGUGAAGAGAGAGAGAGAGAGAGAGAGAGAGAGAGAGACCUUUUUCUUAAUUUUAAUUAAUGAAAAACAUUUGAAUAAAUAUAAAAAAUUAAAAAAAAACAAAUAUAAGGGUAUAAUAAUCUUUUUAUGUUGAUAAGGACGAAAAACAAUAGAUAGAUCCAAUUUUGGACCAGUGGUGCACCAACAUUUUGUUUUGGACCAAAGCACAUAAAU